GGCCGGUGCUUUAACAUGAUUAUGCAUGAGUGGAAGAACGAAUCAAUUAAGCUAAGAAACGAAUUCUCUCUCUCUCACGUCCGAAACCACCCAAAACAGAGCAAAACUUCUCCAAACUCUCUCUCACUCCACCGGCCACCAAUCAAGACCAGAACACUUCCUAUAGCUUCGCCUCGACCUUGCGCAGCUGCAGGUGGCAGCCUUGAACCACGACACGGCCACCAGCGGCGGCGGGAAGCUCCGCCCGGUUUGAGCUCGUUUUGGUUCCAAGCUUGAUAUCUCAAGCUACCGGCCAACAAUCCUCACCAAACUUCACCCACGAGCUCGCCUCAACGUCCUGAAGCUCCCAGAAGUGGCCUUGCACGGCGGCGCUACUCGUGGUGGCGGCUGGAAGCCAGACCCGAUCAAAUCGAAAACCGAAGCUUCGAUCGGUAUAUCUCGAGCUGUAGUGCAUCGUUUUGAUUGAUUCUUUUUCCAGUGGGUUCCCCUUGAUGUUGUUAACAACUCUCUAGAAGGCAUCGAGGCCUGAAAUUGAAGUUUUUACGUCGAUCGGAGCCCUCGCCGGAUUCUGCAAAAUUCUGCAAAUUUUCCGACCACCGAAGCUUUCGAUCGGUAUAUCUCGAGCUACAGACCAUAUUUUUCUGUGAUUCUUGAACCAAUGCGUUCGUCUUGAGUUUCUUAACAACUCUCUAGAAGGAAUCGAAGCCUGAAAUUGAAGUUUUGACGUCGAAAUCAAGCCUUGCCGGAUUCUGCAAAUUUCGCCGGAUUCUGGAAAUUUUCCGGCCACCUCGACUGUUCUAGGUUAUCGACGGAUUGAUUUGGUGGACGAUUCGGAUUGAUGUAUUUGGCUUUUUAGAAGACGCAGCUGGAUUAGAGCGGGAAAUCCUACAGGUCAGGAAGAUCAAGGCGGAGAUCGUGCGGGUUAGAGUUUUUGUUUCAGUUUACAGCUUUGUAAAUUGUGAGAUGUAUUAUUAAGAGGUGUGAAGUGUGGUUGUUGUGAGAAAAAAAUUCAGGACGUUUAUUCUAUUAAGUUGUAUAAUUCAUGUUUCGGAUUUUAAUUGUAUUUAAAAUUCGGGGCGUGACAGUUUGGUAUCAGAGCGUAAGGUACAUAUUUGGUGACGUGUCAAUACCUUCCGAGUGAUGGCCCGUCUGCAGCGGAUCCCCAUCGUGCGCUCUUCGGUAUUGGCUAAGUCAUUGGGUAUGUGUGAGUGUUGGAAGUUGUUUAGGCCGCUAAGUCGUUUUAGGAACGUUAACACCUUCCCUGUAGUAUUGACUUGGUUAAUAUGGACUUGUAUUUGACUUAUACUGUGUUUUAAGUGUUAUACGUGUAUUAGCCAAGCAUACUAUAUUUCUUAGGUGUUGAAUAUUCGAAGGAGUAGUACUUAGAACUACAGAGUUGUCUUGUAGGUUCGUAUUUGAAUAAGUUCAGUUACCGCGAGUUAUAAUCUUUAAGGGAUGGAAACCUUCGGAUUUAACUCUAUUGAGUUAGGGUGAUUGUUUUAUGGAAGUGAGGUUCUUUUGGAUGUUGAGGUGUUUGGUUGAAGGCAUGAUGUUGGCCUAUGCACGUACCUAGUGUGGAUACGAGUAUGAAUUGAUGGAAUUUUUGCCUUAUUAGGUUGGAUAUACAGAUGUUUUUGAUUUGAUUCUUGACUCAUGUGGAGUGGUGGGUAGUAUUGCGGUUUGGGAAUGAAUUAUUGUGGUUAAUUCUUCCAUGUGUUUGUAAGUUGAUGAGCAGGGUUUAAGUUGUGAGAAAGGAGUUUGAUCUCGUGUUUGAGUGAUUGAGACGAACGACUAUAUAUUUGAGGUUGUUUUGUGUUUUAAGUUUAUGUAGACGGGACACUUAAAGUUUUGAAAUAGAGUUUGAUUUUUAGUUGAUAGAUAAUGGGGAGAAUUAGAAUCAACUCUUUGUUAAUGAUCUUGGACGAGAGUGUGUUUCUAUGGUUAUGGAUUUUAGGUGAAAUGGUUAAAUACAAUUUUGGGUAUUGAUGAUAGUGACAUGAUUGGGUAUCCAUAGUGGUUCAAGUGAAUUACUAUGCGGUAUGGAGUUGAUUCGAUGUAUGAAUCGUGAAAUCUUAGGGUUGAAUUAUGGUAAGUUUGAUGGAGCAUGUUUUAGAGGGAAUGGUUGAGAUUUUAUAUGACUAGCACGAGUAACUCUAAGGAUGUGAGUUUUCCUAGUUAACUCAGGAAGUGUUUAGCUUUAUUAAUCCCUAAUUCUAGCGACGAAAUUAUUGUGUUUGGUUUGACUCAGAGGAUACUAGCUUGACCUCUGUGCAACUUAAUUGAUUGUUUGUGAUAAAUCAUUAUGAUUGAUGUGUGCAGCAGAGUUGUCAAUGGUUUUGAAAAUAGUAUUGGGUGACCAAGGUUGAUCCUUGGUGUUGUUGUUGGUUUAACAAAAAGAAGAAACGACAUACAUGCACACCAUCUUAUUGAUUUAAUAUUACAAAAAGGAAAUUGGAACUACGCUAUACUAAGCCUAAUUGGUAGCUCCGGAUGGGUUGAGGCUGAGCUCAAGAGAAACGUUAGAGCCACUGUUGUAACCGCCUGAGCCACCAGAAUAGUAACCAAAUGCGCUACCUUCCUCAGAAGUAGUCUUCGGGUUACCAAAGACGUCCUCGCCGUGCACGGGGAACAGAGGAAGAGUUUCAACCUCCUGGUGAUCUCCUCCUCGUUGUUGCAGGGAUGUUUGUCCUCCUGUUGUGCCAAAAGAGUUGUACUGGUAUUAGUGUUGAAGUGUGAGGAAGAAUAUGAAACAAAAUUUAAAUCAAGAAAUCCUUCAUUACCAGUAGAAUAGGUGGAACCAAAGUUGAGAUCAAUGGAUCUACCAUCAUCAGUAGAACUAGUGGACCCAAAAUUGAUGUCAAUGGAUCCACCAGCUGGCCCAAAAUUGAUGUCGAUGGAUCCACCAGCACCAGUAGAACCAGUGGACCCAAAAUUGAGAUCAAUGGAUCCACCAGUACCAGGAGAACUAGUUCCCAUGGGCACUUGAGCAGCCUGAUUGCACCUCUUCAUCUGCUUCUCUCGA
Molecule: long non-coding RNA, 3022 nt
Organism: Rosa rugosa (rugosa rose)
Lineage: Eukaryota; Viridiplantae; Streptophyta; Magnoliopsida; Rosales; Rosaceae
Exons: 3
Source: RefSeq, a predicted model, not a curated record